This is a long non-coding RNA of Vigna angularis (adzuki bean), 1497 nucleotides long. RefSeq lists it as uncharacterized. The transcript has 5 exons. The record is from RefSeq and is a predicted model, not a curated record. Lineage: Eukaryota; Viridiplantae; Streptophyta; Magnoliopsida; Fabales; Fabaceae.
AGUAUAGAUUAUUUUUGUUUGAAAUUACAGCACUUCAUCCUUCUUUCUCGCACUCGCCGCAGAGAAAGACCAUCGCAGAUCUUCGAUGCCUCUUCUCCUACGUUCCAAGCCUCUAAAAAAUCUCUGACGAGAUCCUCGUCAACACCGUCGACAUCAAGCAGCGAGAUCCCUCCAUGGCAGCCGUCAAGGUCACCAUCAAUGCCAAACAGAACACUGUAUCCGUCUUCAACAACGGCGAUGUCAUACCCAUCGAGAUCCCCAAACUCAUUUGCGGCCACUUGCUCACUAACAGCAAUUAUGGUGACAACAUUAAGGAGAUCACCGGUGGAUGCAACAGCUAUGGUGCGAAGCUCACCAACAUCUUCUCCACCGAGUUCAGCAUCAAAAUCGUCGACGGAAAGGGCAAGAAGUAUAAAUAGGCACCUCCAAGGAAUCAUCCUCUUUUGCUCUUGUCAGCGUGAGAACUAACGCCAUUGGAUAUGACCUUUCACCUAAGUUUGUUCUGGUGCAAAAGACAUAUUUUGGCUCCUUCCUCACACAUUCGUAGAUCCAUCUAGAUAGUGACCUCCACAAAAGGAUACAAUUGAAGUCAUUAGCAGAAGAAAUGCAAGCAAUCAUCAGGGGAUUAGAAAAGGUUAAAGAGGAGCUGACUGCAUCAGAAAACGAUGGCCCAGUGACUGAAGUUUUUCGUAAGGCAAUUAUCUCUGGAUGUUCUGUGCUGGAGAGUUGGCUGCAAUUUUAAAUUGUGAUCGAUUCAAAUCACUACUACCUAGAACAACUAAAGUGAAAUGCCUUGCAGAUGCUGGUUAUUUUAUCAAUGUGUAAGCUUAUUUGUCUUCUUUUUACUUAUCUUUCUUUGUAAAUGCAGCCCAUGAUUCAUGGCAGGUCAUAUUAUUCUCUUUCUAGAAAAAAAAAUCAUUUUAAUUCUGAAAUAGUGUUAUGUAUUGUUCCAACUUAAAACUGAUACUAUGUUUAUAUUCAUUGAUCAAUUGGUGCUAGUUUUGUCCUUUAUCUCACAAAAUUCAUAUAUGAGGAUUUAUACAAAACAAUGUGAUUAAUUUUUCUUAACAUUCCCAGUUAAAAAAAAAACUAUGAUUAUUUAAUUAACUCUAGUGAAAAUUCGGCUGUCACAAACUGAGCCAAGGUUUUUCUAUAGAAGCAGGUUACUUAUAAAUCAGCCAGUAGAUGUGUCUUUUAUGAUCAUUAUUCUAUAGUGCAGACUCAGAAAUUCUUUAUGCAGGUGGACAAGCUUAAAGGGGAACUAGAAACACAAAACAAGGAGAAAGGGAACACGGAAACUCGAGUGUUUGUUAGAGAAAAAAGUUAAUGACUUGAACUCAAAAUUAGAAGAUUUAAGUUUUACGUUUACCAACAAUUCUGUUUUAACUAAUGUGCCUUAAGUGCAUCUCAUUAUUGUUUUAACUAAUGUGCCUUAAGUAUAUUACUCCAGCAUCAUCAUCAGCUGCUAAUAAUAUCUACUCCUGUUGGCUUUAGGUU